This 636-nucleotide unclassified non-coding RNA is filed under the name Hevea brasiliensis (rubber tree). Lineage: Eukaryota; Viridiplantae; Streptophyta; Magnoliopsida; Malpighiales; Euphorbiaceae. The record is from RNAcentral.
AACCCAGACAGAUCUAUCGAGAUCCAUCUCAAACAAAAGCUCCAGCACCUCAUGUGAUAUUGCUGAUUGCCGUUGUUGUCGCCACUGGUUAAAGCUGUUGUUCGUCCUGUGUUGCUGGCCGGAGCAGCUAUUGUUGUCUCGCUAGGCUGCUGCUAGCCGCUACUGCUGGUGGUUGACGCCGGGCUGCUCGUCUGGUGGCUGUCGCCGGAUUGUCCUGUGACUGUUUGACCCUGCAAAAAGAAAAGAAGAGGAAGGAGAGGGGGAAGGGAACGAGCAGAACGAGAGGGAGAAGAGGAGAGAAGGAGGGGAUGGCGGCUGGUGAGAUGGAGGGGAGGAAGAGAGAAGGUGAGGAGAAGAGAGAGAAGAGCAGCGGUGCUGCGGCGGCCUCUGUCCGGCUGUCUCCUUGCCGGAAAAAAUGGAGGAGAGGGAGGAGGAGGAGCGACGGGAGGGAGAAGAAGAGAGGGAGAGCGACGGGAGAGAGAGGUGCGCCUGGAAGCUGCUGCUUCCGGCGGCUGCUGGUGUCUCGUCCGGCUGUCUCCCUCGCCGGAAAAAUGGAGGAGGGGGAGAGAGAAGGGAGAAGGGAGGCGGCUUCUUGGAGAGGAAGAGGGGGCGAAGAGAGAGAGAGAGAGAGUUUAG